Molecule: ribosomal RNA, 465 nt
Filed under: uncultured Klebsiella sp.
Lineage: Bacteria; Pseudomonadati; Pseudomonadota; Gammaproteobacteria; Enterobacterales; Enterobacteriaceae
Description: bacterial SSU rRNA
Rfam family: Bacterial small subunit ribosomal RNA
Source: RNAcentral
CCUACGGGUGGCAGCAGUGGGGAAUAUUGCACAAUGGGCGCAAGCCUGAUGCAGCCAUGCCGCGUGUGUGAAGAAGGCCUUCGGAUUGUAAAGCACUUUCAGCGGGGAGGAAGGCGGUGAGGUUAAUAACCUCAUCGAUUGACGAUACCCGCAGAAGAAGCACCGGCUAACUCCGUGCCAGCAGCCGCGGUAAUACGGAGGGUGCAAGCGUUAAUCGGAAUUACUGGGCGUAAAGCGCACGCAGGCGGUCUGUCAAGUCGGAUGUGAAAUCCCCGGGCUCAACCUGGGAACUGCAUUCGAAACUGGCAGGCUAGAGUCUUGUAGAGGGGGGUAGAAUUCCAGGUGUAGCGGUGAAAUGCGUAGAGAUCUGGAGGAAUACCGGUGGCGAAGGCGGCCCCCUGGACAAAGACUGACGCUCAGGUGCGAAAGCGUGGGGAGCAAACAGGAUUAGAUACCCCUGUAGUC